This 488-nucleotide ribosomal RNA is filed under the name uncultured bacterium. Its description in RNAcentral is "bacterial SSU rRNA". It matches the Rfam family "Bacterial small subunit ribosomal RNA", at positions 30 to 534 of the family's 1533-position model. The record is from RNAcentral.
AUUGAACGCUGGCGGCAGGCCUAACACAUGCAAGUCGAGCGGAUGAAGGGAGCUUGCUCCUGGUGGCGAGUGGCGGACGGGUGAGUAACACGUAGGAAUCUGCCUGGUAAUGGGGGAUAACCCGGGGGAAACUCGGGCUAAUACCGCAUACGCUCCACGGAGGAAAGCGGGGGAUCUUAGGACCUCGCGUUAUCAGAUGAGCCUGCGUCCGAUUAGCUAGUUGGUGGGGUAAAGGCCCACCAAGGCGACGAUCGGUAGCUGGUCUGAGAGGACGAUCAGCCACACUGGAACUGAGACACGGUCCAGACUCCUACGGGAGGCAGCAGUGGAGAAUAUUGGACAAUGGGCGAAAGCCUGAUCCAGCAAUGCCGCGUGAGUGAUGAAGGCCUUAGGGUUGUAAAGCUCUUUUACCCGGGAUGAUAAUGACAGUACCGGGAGAAUAAGCUCCGGCUAACUCCGUGCCAGCAGCCGCGGUAAUGUGACUACUG